AUGGAAGAACCGGGAUGGGAGAAUCGGGUGGCCCAGUUGCUCAAUUUAUGGGAGAUCCGGGUCGCGGUCCUUUCGAGCUUCGUCGCACAUCUUCUACUCGUGCUCCUCUCCAGCAUCCGUCGGCGUAAAGCCUCUGGAGUGCUGAUGCUCAUCCUUUGGCUGGCGUACCAGUUCUCCAGCUGGGUCGCUCCAUACACUCUCAGCAACCUGUCCCUCAGCAACACUUCGUCGUGGAGGCAGCAGCUGGUGGCCUUCUGGACGACGUUCCUCCUGCACCAUCUCGGCGGCGCUGAUAACAUCAGCGCCUUCUCCCUGGAGGACAAUAAGCUCUCUGCACGCGAAGCACUUAAUGUCAUCUCCCGGGUUGCUGGAGCCAGCUAUGUGCUAUACAAGCAUGUGUACAUUGGUGGUGGAGGCGGGACUUUGAUCCAGGUGUCCAUCAUCAUUUUCGCCAUGGGUGCUGCCAAAGCAGCGAAGGCGAUUGGAGUGGAAGAUGUUUGGAAUGAAUACCAGCACUCCAAAGGACACAAGUUUUCACAGGAUGAUGUCAAGCGAGUGGUGUUCACAAGGGUAAACAAAGUUCUGAGGUCAACAUAUGAGGAUGACAAGGAUGGCCGCUAUCCCAUGGAGAACAAAAUGAUGUUCUGGGGUCAAUUGACAACCAAGAUGCGCCCGAAGGAACUGAAAAGAUUUCGUCUGGCAUUUGGUCGUGAGUUCCAGGAGGACAUCCUUGUCUGGCACAUUGCCACCCAAAUUUUCCUCGUCUGUCGCAGCGAUGAGCAGUUGGUGAUCCAUGACAAGAAUGCAGUUACACAUGCAAAGGCGAUUGAGGCAAUGUCUAAGUACCUCAUGUUCCUGACGGUUGUGCGCCCAUACAUGCUACCCGGUUUUACACUCCGCAGCCUGGACGAGGUAACCCUCAAAGCUUUAAGAGACGUAUGGAACAAGUCUGAGAUGUCAGACAUUGGUUCUAGUUGGACCACUGGAGAGAAGAAGCUUUCUAGGACCCUUGUCAAUAGGAAGGAAGACGACGAGUGGGGUUUCGGAAAUAGGGGAACUCGUCUGGUCUCAGACGGGGUUAAUAUUGCAGUGAAGCUGCUUACGGCUGAUCGUUCAGAGAUGCCGAAACUGCUGGAGCUUGUCUUCAACAUUUGGGUGGAUAAGCUGCUGUAUGCAGCCACCCGAUGCAGCAGGGAAUCGCAUGCCAGGCAGCUCGGCCAUGGCGGUGGCCUCACGACCAUCGUGUGGAUUAUGGCAGAGCAUGCUGGCCCGUUUCAGAUUGGCCAAGAUGGUCCAGAUGAAAAAGAGGAAUCCGGUGGCAUUGGAGAUUUGGUUGGUGGCAUUGGAGAUUUGGUCGGACUGGCGUUUGACCUCCCCAAGCCAUCACCGCCAGACCCUGAACCAGCCAAGGAGAUGCCCCAGCCACACAAACCUAUGUGGCCUCAACCGCCAUCACCAUGGGAUCCGAUGUAUAGGCCAAUGUUUGGAGACGGCGGACAUAUGAUGCCGCCACCAAAAAAGGAGGAGCCUAAGCCCCCUCCCCCUGAACCCAUGCCACCACCGAAGGGUCUGCCCCGGCCGGAGUCCGGUGAACGUGAAGACACCAAACCUACACGGGCUGGAAGGUUAGGUGUAUGGCAGAUUGAUUAUUUGGUAACCAAUUAUGCGGCUGUGGCAUAA
Molecule: ribosomal RNA, 1680 nt
Filed under: Triticum aestivum (bread wheat)
Lineage: Eukaryota; Viridiplantae; Streptophyta; Magnoliopsida; Poales; Poaceae
Description: partial small subunit ribosomal RNA
Source: RNAcentral